UUCUCUUCGGAGAAGAGCGGCGGACGGGUGAGUAACGCGUGGGUAACCUGCCCUGUACACACGGAUAACAUACCGAAAGGUAUGCUAAUACGGGAUAACAUAAGAAAUUCGCAUGUUUUUCUUAUCAAAGCUCCGGCGGUACAGGAUGGACCCGCGUCUGAUUAGCUAGUUGGUGAGGUAACGGCUCACCAAGGCGACGAUCAGUAGCCGACCUGAGAGGGUGAUCGGCCACAUUGGAACUGAGACACGGUCCAAACUCCUACGGGAGGCAGCAGUGGGGAAUAUUGCACAAUGGGCGAAAGCCUGAUGCAGCAACGCCGCGUGAGCGAUGAAGGCCUUCGGGUCGUAAAGCUCUGUCCUCAAGGAAGAUAAUGACGGUACUUGAGGAGGAAGCCCCGGCUAACUACGUGCCAGCAGCCGCGGUAAUACGUAGGGGGCUAGCGUUAUCCGGAUUUACUGGGCGUAAAGGGUGCGUAGGCGGUCUUUUAAGUCAGGAGUGAAAGGCUACGGCUCAACCGUAGUAAGCUCUUGAAACUGGAGGACUUGAGUGCAGGAGAGGAGAGUGGAAUUCCUAGUGUAGCGGUGAAAUGCGUAGAUAUUAGGAGGAACACCAGUAGCGAAGGCGGCUCUCUGGACUGUAACUGACGCUGAGGCACGAAAGCGUGGGGAGCAA
This 673-nucleotide ribosomal RNA is filed under the name uncultured bacterium. Its description in RNAcentral is "bacterial SSU rRNA". It matches the Rfam family "Bacterial small subunit ribosomal RNA", at positions 74 to 771 of the family's 1533-position model. The record is from RNAcentral.